Molecule: long non-coding RNA, 396 nt
Organism: Rosa chinensis
Lineage: Eukaryota; Viridiplantae; Streptophyta; Magnoliopsida; Rosales; Rosaceae
Exons: 2
Source: RefSeq, a predicted model, not a curated record
AUCUGGCAGCUAUCUGCGUCUGGAGAUAGUGGAGUACCUGAAGUGGUAGCUGAUCCUCUAGGUGAAGUUUCGAGGACAUUUCAGGAGGUUGGAAUAUGUGUUGUGCAACAAUGUGCUAAGAUUCGCCAACAAGUCUCAGCAGCAGUGACCUAUGAUAAAUCUAUCAAGGCAAUAAGAGUGAGGGUACCAGAUUCAGAUGAUGAAUUUCUUCUCCAUCCUGCAACUGUGAGACGGAAUGACCACUCUGCCCAAAGUGUGGUAUGACUAGAUUUAUUUGGAAGCACCAAGUAUAGAGCUCUUUUGUCUGUUCUUUUUUUCUUUCUCAGAGUAGCACACUAUUUCUGCAAGAUGACGUGCAUAUAAUGUUUGAUUUAUGACACUGGUCCUUCAAGAAAA